This 890-nucleotide ribosomal RNA is filed under the name Melampsora laricis-populina. Its description in RNAcentral is "Melampsora larici-populina partial 28S large subunit ribosomal RNA". It matches the Rfam family "Eukaryotic large subunit ribosomal RNA", at positions 74 to 943 of the family's 3401-position model. Lineage: Eukaryota; Fungi; Basidiomycota; Pucciniomycetes; Pucciniales; Melampsoraceae. The record is from RNAcentral.
AUUCCCUUAGUAACGGCGAGUGAACAGGGAAAAGCCCAAAUUUGUAAUCUGGCACUUUUUACAAGUGUCCGAGUUGUAAUUUGUAGAACUGUUAUCCGCGCUGGACCAUGUACAAGUCUGUUGAAAAGCAGCAUCAUUGAAGGUGAAAAUCCUGUAGAUGAUAUGGACUACCAGUGCAUUUGUGAUACGGUUUCUAAGAGUCGAGUUGUUUGGGAAUGCAGCUCAAAGUGGGUGGUAAAUUCCAUCUAAGGCUAAAUAUAAGUGAGAGACCGAUAGCAAACAAGUACCGUGAGGGAAAGAUGAAAAGAACUUUGAAAAUAGAGUUAACAGUACGUGAAAUUGCUGAAAGGGAAACGUUUGAAGUUAGUUUUGUAUUCGUUGGAUCAGCUUCGCAAGGAGUGUAUUCUGAUGAUAAGCAAGUCAACAUCAAUCUAUGAGUGUCGGAGAAGGGUUUUGAGAAUGUAGCAAUUUUUAUUAAUUGUGUUAUAGCUUGAGACUUGGAUACGAUGCUUUGGAUUGAGGAACGCGUAGUAAGCUUUGAGCGGAUUCGAAAGGAUCUCCUUACUAUGGAUGUUGGUGAAAUAACUUUAAGCGACCCGUCUUGAAACACGGACCAAGGAGUCUAACAUGCUUGCGAGUAUUAGGGUGUUGAAACCCGAAUGCGUAAUGAAAGUGAAUUUCAGAUGUGAUCCGCAAGGUGCAACAUCGACCAGUCUGGAUCAUUUAUGUGAAGGUACUGAGUAAGAGCAAGUAUGUUAGGACCCGAAAGAUGGUGAACUAUGCCUGGAUAGGGUGAAGUCAGAGGAAACUCUGAUGGAAGCUCGUAGCGGUUCUGACGUGCAAAUCGAUCGUAGAAUCUGGGUAUAGGGGCGAAAGACUAAUCGAACCAU